AUUCCAGCUCCAAUAGCGUAUAUUAAAGUUGUUGCAGUUAAAAAGCUCGUAGUUGGAUUUCGGAACCGGCCGAUUGGUCCGUCCUCUGGAUCGUGUACUGAUCGGUCUGUUCUUCUUCGCGAAGACCGCGUGUGCCCUUAACUGGGUGGGCGCGGGAUUCGCGACGUUUACUUUGAAAAAAUUAGAGUGUUCAAAGCAGGCAGUCGCUUGAAUAUCUCAGCAUGGAAUAAUAGAAUAGGACUUUGGUCUUAUUUUGUUGGUUUCCGAGGCCGAAGUAAUGAUUAAUAGGGACAGUUGGGGGCAUUCGUAUUUCAUUGUCAGAGGUGAAAUUCUUGGAUUUAUGAAAGACGAACUUCUGCGAAAGCAUUUGCCAAGGAUGUUUUCAUUA
RNAcentral lists this ribosomal RNA (388 nucleotides) under Ctenophora sp. (in: diatoms). Its description in RNAcentral is "Ctenophora sp. (in: Bacillariophyta) partial small subunit ribosomal RNA". It matches the Rfam family "Eukaryotic small subunit ribosomal RNA", at positions 582 to 975 of the family's 1831-position model. Lineage: Eukaryota; Bacillariophyta; Fragilariophyceae; Fragilariales; Fragilariaceae. The record is from RNAcentral.